AUGAAAAGGCUUGUGGUUCUGUUGUGCCUCUCUCGGCUGGUCAGACAAAGCAGUCCACCGAUGAUAAAGAAAUCCCAGCUGAAACUAAAGAAGGGUCUGUACAAGUUAAGAGAGGUGAAUCAUGCUCAUUUAUCUUCUGGUCUUAAGUUAGCAUGUUCUUCUCGUCCUCCCAUCCCCAGAGUAUGGAGAUUUCUUACACUAGUCCUGACUACUGAGGACAAGUAUCCUAUCAAGAUUACUGACAUCCUAGAUAAUGCUAAGUCUUAUACUAAAUAUGACAUUUUUUUUGCGGGGGUACUAAAUAUGACAUUGGCUCCACCUCUUGUGAAGGCGGAUCAGGUGUCGCUGGAUCAUGAAAUUCCUUCUGUUUCUGAUCCUUGCCUCGAGGAUAAGGGUGUAGACAAGCCUGAUACAGUCCAGUUGGUGCAGAGGCUUGCCGAGGUACUACAGAAUCGUUGGAGUGCUCUGUAG
Molecule: ribosomal RNA, 471 nt
Filed under: Triticum aestivum (bread wheat)
Lineage: Eukaryota; Viridiplantae; Streptophyta; Magnoliopsida; Poales; Poaceae
Description: partial small subunit ribosomal RNA
Source: RNAcentral